RNAcentral lists this ribosomal RNA (497 nucleotides) under uncultured bacterium. RNAcentral describes it as "partial 16S ribosomal RNA". It matches the Rfam family "Bacterial small subunit ribosomal RNA", at positions 28 to 507 of the family's 1533-position model. The record is from RNAcentral.
GACGAACGCUGGCGGCGUGCCUAAUACAUGCAAGUAGAACGCUGAAGAGAGGAGCUUGCUCUUCUUGGAUGAGUUGCGAACGGGUGAGUAACGCGUAGGUAACCUGCCUUGUAGCGGGGGAUAACUAUUGGAAACGAUAGCUAAUACCGCAUAACAAUGGAUGCCACAUGUCAUUUAUUUGAAAGGGGCAAUUGCUCCACUACAAGAUGGACCUGCGUUGUAUUAGCUAGUAGGUGAGGUAAUGGCUCACCUAGGCGACGAUACAUAGCCGACCUGAGAGGGUGAUCGGCCACACUGGGACUGAGACACGGCCCAGACUCCUACGGGAGGCAGCAGUAGGGAAUCUUCGGCAAUGGGGGCAACCCUGACCGAGCAACGCCGCGUGAGUGAAGAAGGUUUUCGGAUUGGAAAGCUCUGCUGUAAGUCAAGAACGGGUGUGAGAGUGGAAAGUUCACGCUGUGACGGUAGCUUACCAGAAAGGGACGGCUAACUACGUG